This 401-nucleotide non-coding RNA is filed under the name Gongylonema pulchrum. Its description in RNAcentral is "Eukaryotic large subunit ribosomal RNA". It matches the Rfam family "Eukaryotic large subunit ribosomal RNA", at positions 2555 to 3001 of the family's 3401-position model. Lineage: Eukaryota; Metazoa; Nematoda; Chromadorea; Rhabditida; Gongylonematidae. The record is from Rfam by way of RNAcentral.
AAAGGAGCGAGCUGGUCAGCAGAGGCUUCGGAGCAGCUGCUCUCAUAAGUCGGCGCAACGUCAACGUUUCCUUAAUCGGAAAAGAGAACUCUGGCCUGGGCUUUGCUCAACAUCUCCGAGUUCGUUUGCGUUACCGCACCAAACACCCAUAAUGAGCAUUUAUCUCCGUGUCCAGGUACGGGAAUAUUAACCCGUUUCCCUUUUGAUUGCCAGGAUGGAGUUACCACGGGGAUAACUGGCUUGCGGCAGCAAAGCGUCCAUAGCGACGUUGCUUUUUGAACCUUUGACGUCGGCUCUUCUUAUCAAGCAGAAUUCGCCAAGCAUUGGACUGUUUACCCACCAGUAGGGAACGUGAGCUGGGCUUAAAUCGCCGCGAGACAGAUUAGUUUUACCCUAUUAUU